AUGGCGGACGGGUGAGUAACGCGUAAGAACUUGCCCUUUAGACUGGGAUAACANAGGGAAACUUCUGAUAAUACUGGAUAAGUUAGUAUAUCGCAUGAUAUGCAAAUGAAAGCUACGGCACUAAAGGAGAGCUUUGCGUCCUAUUAGCUAGUUGGUAAGGUAAGAGCUUACCAAGGCGAUGAUAGGUAGCCGGCCUGAGAGGGUGGACGGCCACAAGGGGACUGAGAUACGGCCCUUACUCCUACGGGAGGCAGCAGAA
This 259-nucleotide ribosomal RNA is filed under the name uncultured Leptotrichia sp. RNAcentral describes it as "partial 16S ribosomal RNA". It matches the Rfam family "Bacterial small subunit ribosomal RNA", at positions 95 to 354 of the family's 1533-position model. Lineage: Bacteria; Fusobacteriati; Fusobacteriota; Fusobacteriia; Fusobacteriales; Leptotrichiaceae. The record is from RNAcentral.